Molecule: long non-coding RNA, 199 nt
Filed under: Elaeis guineensis (African oil palm)
Lineage: Eukaryota; Viridiplantae; Streptophyta; Magnoliopsida; Arecales; Arecaceae
Description: long non-coding RNA (EGUI_LNC029584)
Source: RNAcentral
GACAGUUUUGUGUGAGAGAUUUGAAAAAUCAAAUUACAGCUAGAGUUUGGAGAGUUCUGAGUGAUUGUAUCUCUCUUUUCAUCGUAGUAAAAUUUCUCUCCUAUCUUGCCUAUGGACAUAGGCUUUUCAGUCGAAUCAUGUAAAUUCUGUGUCUGUUUUUUCUUCUCUUCUCUAUUCUGUGUGAUUGUAUGAAUCUAUG